Molecule: ribosomal RNA, 421 nt
Filed under: uncultured bacterium
Lineage: Bacteria
Description: bacterial SSU rRNA
Rfam family: Bacterial small subunit ribosomal RNA
Source: RNAcentral
GACGAACGCUGGCGGCAGGCCUAACACAUGCAAGUCGAACGUGAAGCCACCUUCGGGUGGUGGAAAGUGGCAGACGGGUGAGUAACGCGUGGGAAUCUACCCAAUGGUACGGAAUAACUCAGGGAAACUUGAGCUAAUACCGUAUGUGCCCGAAAGGGGAAGAUUUAUCGCCAUUGGAUGAGCCCGCGUCUGAUUAGCUAGUUGGUGGGGUAAUGGCCCACCAAGGCGACGAUCAGAGCUGGUCUGAGAGGAUGAUCAGCCACACUGGGACUGAGACACGGCCCAGACUCCUACGGGAGGCAGCAGUGGGGGAAUAUUGGACAAUGGGCGCAAGCCUGAUCCAGCCAUGCCGCGUGAGUGAUGAAGGCCCUAGGGUUGGUAAAGCUCUUUCGGCGGGGACGAUAAUGACGUACCCGCAGAA